GAGACAUACCAAAUUAUACAACUUCAGAUGGAUCAGUUAAGAUUCAAAAGGAUAGUGAGGUGCGGUUAAAGAUAAUUGGUACUCGAGUUGAUGCUACAGAAAUUUUCUGCAUUGGUACGAUAAAGGAUGAUUUCUUGGGUGUCAUCAAUGAUCCCGGUGCAUCAGCUUAGUGAAUCUCAAUAUUGAAAAGUUUACAUUGCAAAGGAGAAGAAUGUGUAGCUCGACAUUUUACCAUAUGGGCUGCAGUUCUAUUAUUUAUACUGGCUAUGUACUAUACAAAGGAGCAGGGUAUAUCCACAUGGGCUGCUGCUGUUGCAUUCAUUUUGUAUGAUUCUGAGUUCUUUUUAGA
This is a long non-coding RNA of Macadamia integrifolia, 349 nucleotides long. RefSeq lists it as uncharacterized. The record is from RefSeq and is a predicted model, not a curated record. Lineage: Eukaryota; Viridiplantae; Streptophyta; Magnoliopsida; Proteales; Proteaceae. The transcript has 3 exons.